This 20-nucleotide non-coding RNA is filed under the name Rattus norvegicus (Norway rat). The record is from RNAcentral. Lineage: Eukaryota; Metazoa; Chordata; Mammalia; Rodentia; Muridae.
UGUCAGGGGAGAAGCAGUGA